CAGCUUGUUGGUGGGGUGAUGGCCUACCAAGGCGACGACGGGUAGCCGGCCUGAGAGGGCGACCGGCCACACUGGGACUGAGACACGGCCCAGACUCCUACGGGAGGCAGCAGUGGGGAAUAUUGCGCAAUGGGCGGAAGCCUGACGCAGCGACGCCGCGUGGGGGAUGACGGCCUUCGGGUUGUAAACCUCUUUCGGCCCCGACGAAGCGUGAGUGACGGUAGGGGUAGAAGAAGCACCGGCCAACUACGUGCCAGCAGCCGCGGUAAUACGUAGGGUGCGAGCGUUGUCCGGAAUUAUUGGGCGUAAAGAGCUCGUAGGCGGUCUGUCGCGUCGGUCGUGAAAACUUGGGGCUUAACCCUGAGCUUGCGGUCGAUACGGGCAUGACUGGAGUUCGGCAGGGGAGACUGGAAUUCCUGGUGUAGCGGUGAAAUGCGCAGAUAUCAGGAGGAACACCGGUGGCGAAGGCGGGUCUCUGGGCCGAUACUGACGCUGAGGAGCGAAAGCGUGGGGAGCGAACAGGAUUAGAUACCCUGGUAGUCCACGCCGUAAACGGUGGGCGCUAGGUGUGGGGGCCAUUCCACGGUCUCUGUGCCGUAGCUAACGCAUUAAGCGCCCC
RNAcentral lists this ribosomal RNA (619 nucleotides) under uncultured Actinomycetes bacterium. RNAcentral describes it as "SSU rRNA". It matches the Rfam family "Bacterial small subunit ribosomal RNA", at positions 242 to 870 of the family's 1533-position model. Lineage: Bacteria; Bacillati; Actinomycetota; Actinomycetes. The record is from RNAcentral.